CGGUGGAGUAUGUUGUUUAAUUCGAAGAUACACGAAGAACCUUACCAGGUCUUGACAUACCAUUGACAGGCACAGAGAUGUGCUCUCCUUCGGGCAAUGGAUACAGGUGGUGCAUGGUUGUCGUCAGCUCGUGCCGUGAGGUGUUGGGUUAAGUCCCGCAACGAGCGCAACCCUCAUUGUUAGUUACUACCAUUCAGUUGAGGACUCUAAUGAGACUGCCAACGACAAGUUGGAGGAAGGUGGGGAUGACGUCAAAUCAUCAUGCCCUUUAUGACCUGGGCUACAAACGUACUACAAUGGCCAAUACAAAGAGAUGCGAAGCGGUGACGUGGAGCGAACCUCAGAAAGUUGGUCUCAGUUCAGAUUGAAGUCUGCAACUCGACUUCAUGAAGGCGGAAUCGCUAGUAAUCGCGGGUCAGCAGACCGCGGUGAAUACGUUCCCGGGUUUU
RNAcentral lists this ribosomal RNA (449 nucleotides) under uncultured Mollicutes bacterium. Its description in RNAcentral is "bacterial SSU rRNA". It matches the Rfam family "Bacterial small subunit ribosomal RNA", at positions 930 to 1382 of the family's 1533-position model. The record is from RNAcentral. Lineage: Bacteria; Bacillati; Mycoplasmatota; Mollicutes.